Molecule: unclassified non-coding RNA, 1632 nt
Filed under: Hevea brasiliensis (rubber tree)
Lineage: Eukaryota; Viridiplantae; Streptophyta; Magnoliopsida; Malpighiales; Euphorbiaceae
Source: RNAcentral
GGAUCAUCUGUCAAUCAACAUUUCCUGCCGCCGCCAGAUCAGUGGGACGUGGUAACGUGGCAAGCAAAUGAUAUAGGCAGCGCUAAACUUUCUAUCUUCCCUACCGUAAUUGAUUCAUAUAUAUCACAAGUUGGGAUUUUCGAUUGGGCGUCCGAGAAAUUCAAAUUUGUGACAGGCACGGAAAAUUCUCUCUCCACUAGUAAGCUCAAACUCUUUCUUUCGGUUUUCGUCCGUGUUUGGUUCUCGAGAAAUCAAACAAAAGAAAUGAAAAUUAUUUAUCUACGCUGAUUCGGGUCUUCGCCAAAAAGGAGGGAUUCUAACAGUAAACUCUUUCUAAUUCUAUGGCUUUUGUUUGCUGAGAAUAUGCGUAACUCAUUUAUGUAGAAUUUCGAUGAAGUUGUAGAAUUUAAUCAAGCAUAUUCCUUACAUGAACAAUUAGGGUUUCAGUUCUUGGCUCCAUUCAACCUUUCAAGGGAAAGAAAAAAAAAAAAAAGCAUAUUCCGUGUACUUAGUUCACGUGAGACGAUGUGUAAUCUUGCCAGUGAAGCUGAAUAUGUUGUACUUUCGUUUUUCGUUUAAAAAAUAAUUAAAAAAAUCGAAUUUUGUGGCUGUAUUGAUUACAUAUGUUUUUGCAUAGUUGGUGUUUCUGAAGAAACUUGAUAGAUAUUAAAUCAUAAAAAACAGUGCUAUGUUGUUCUACUUAUUUUGUGCGAGUCUUUGAAUUUUGGAUGUUUGAGGCUGAUAUAACUGGAUAUUUGAUAGUUGUGCUGACCAAGGUAACAUGGGCGAAGGGAGGCAAGUUUCAGAUAUGUUGUCUUUUGAAUUGGACUGAAUAAGCUCAACUAUUUGAUAAUUGGUAUUAAAACUUUCUGGUCAAGCUAGCUAGUCAUUAUAUCUUUAGUUAAAUAUAGCUUUAAAAAGUUGAUUGUAUUUAACUGGAUUAAAUAUCAGCUAUUACUUAAGCUUCAUUUCUCUAUAGUUUUUUUUGUAGAUUUAUUAAGGAUAAAGGGUAGAUCAUAAUCAUUGUGAUAGGAUCUUUCCUUUUAGCAUUAUUAGCAUAUGUGUGUAGGGGCGUUUUAUUAAGAAUAUUAAUUCAUUCCUGAUCAUAUAAUCAUUCCAAUACCAAGAGAAAUGGCUGAAAAGCUUAGAAUACCAGAGCCGGCUACUUCCUUUGAGUAUGAGCCUUUUGAAGGAGAUCCUGAGCACCUCAGGAUAGUUGUUGCUACACCUAAGCAGAUUUCACCUUGGAUUGAAGCAGCUGAAUUGAAACUAAAACACAGGAUUGGACAUGGCAUCUUUGGUGAUGUUUGGUUAGCAACACAUCAUUAGUCAGCUGAUGACUUUGAGAAGUAUCAUGAAGUGGUUGUUAAGAUGUUUUAUCCCUUGAAGGAGGACCUCACACAAAUGUUUGUGGACAAGUUUGAGAGGAUAUUUUUGAAGCGUCAAGAAAUGCAAGGUGUUGGUUGGUUGCAUGGUGUCUCAAUUAUGAAUGGACAGGUGACUUCCCCACAAGUAAAUUUAUUCUUUCUCAUUGGGAAUCAAUCCUUCAACUUCGGUAAUGGUGUUUUCCUUUAUAUUUUUGGUUUCUUUGGUUUUCAAUAACAGCUCUGAAGAAUCUGUUAUGAUAAAAGU